AAAAAAUCCAAGAAAAUGAUUCCAAUUUUCUUGUUUUUACACUAAGAUACUCUAUGCAUCUUCUCAUGAAAAUUCAAGAAAAAAGGUACCAUUUUUUUUUUCAUAGUUUCUUGAAAAUCUUGAAGUAUUGUAGAAUCCAAGAAAAAGGGUCAUAAGAUUCUUGAAAAUUUUAAGGUAUUAUUGUUACCUUAAAAGGUGUUGUUGUGUUUAUGUUUCUUCCUUGUUGUUUUGAUUUGAUGGCUUUUUUUAAUAGAAAGAUGUUAGAAGAACAUAUAUUUGAUGUACCAAAAAGUGUUAAAUGUUUGAGUUGUACAUCAUACGUUUGUACAAAUGAUUGUGGUGAUACAUAUGUUCCAAGUGAUGGUCCAUUUUUUCCUCCACCUCCUCCUCCUUAUGUGACAAGUGAAAAAUACCAUAUGCCCUUUUAUUUCAUCAUAAUGCUUUGUGUAUUUGGGGCUUUUUUUAUGUUCAUAUGUUAUAUGAUUAUACUUAGGAGGAGUAGGUCAAAUUCAAGACCAAAUAAUGUUUCACAAUUUGAUGAGACUAGAGAGGAUUUUGUUAUAGAUGAGAAUUUGGGCCCAAUGUUGGAUCAUCCGAUUUGGUAUAUUCGCACUGUGGGACUCGGACAAGAUGUUAUUGAUUCGAUUACGGUGUUUAAGUAUAGAAAAGAUGAGUUUUUGAUUGAUGGGAGUGAUUGUUCUGUUUGUUUGACUGAAUUUGAGGAGGAUGAGAGUUUAAGGUUGUUGCCUAAAUGUAGUCAUGCUUUUCAUAUUCCUUGUAUUGAUACUUGGUUAAGGUCACACAAGAAUU
RNAcentral lists this unclassified non-coding RNA (810 nucleotides) under Hevea brasiliensis (rubber tree). The record is from RNAcentral. Lineage: Eukaryota; Viridiplantae; Streptophyta; Magnoliopsida; Malpighiales; Euphorbiaceae.